AAGCGUGCGCAGGCGGUUAUGUAAGACAGAUGUGAAAUCCCCGGGCUCAACCUGGGAACUGCAUUUGUGACUGCAUGGCUAGAGUACGGUAGAGGGGGAGUGGAAUUCCGCGUGUAGCAGUGAAAUGCGUAGAUAUGCGGAGGAACACCGAUGGCGAAGGCAAUCCCCUGGACCUGUACUGACGCUCAUGCACGAAAGCGUGGGGAGCAAACAGGAUUAGAUACCCUAGU
RNAcentral lists this ribosomal RNA (230 nucleotides) under uncultured bacterium. RNAcentral describes it as "partial 16S ribosomal RNA". It matches the Rfam family "Bacterial small subunit ribosomal RNA", at positions 563 to 791 of the family's 1533-position model. The record is from RNAcentral.